UACGGAAGGCAGCAGUGGGGAAUAUUGCACAAUGGGCGAAAGCCUGAUGCAGCUAUGCCGCGUGUAUGAAGAAGGCCUUAGGGUUGUAAAGUACUUUCAUCGGGGAGGAAAAACAAAACUAAUAAUUUUAUUUCUUGACGUUACCCGAAAAAGAAGCACCGGCUAACUCCGUGCCAGCAGCCGCGGUAAUACGGAGGGUGCUAGCGUUAAUCAGAAUUACUGGGCGUAAAGAGCACGUAGGUGGUUUUUUUAAGUCAGAUGUGAAAUCCCUGGGCUUAACCUAGGAACUGCAUUUUGAAACUGAAAUACUAGAGUAUCGUAGAGGGAGGUAGAAUUCUAGGUGUAGCGGUGAAAUGCGUAGAUAUCUGGAGGAAUACCUGUGGCGAAAGCGGCCUCCUAAACGAAUACUGACACUGAGGUGCGAAAGCGUGGGGAACAAACAGGGAUUAGAUACC
This 455-nucleotide ribosomal RNA is filed under the name uncultured bacterium. RNAcentral describes it as "bacterial SSU rRNA". It matches the Rfam family "Bacterial small subunit ribosomal RNA", at positions 340 to 786 of the family's 1533-position model. The record is from RNAcentral.